This is a long non-coding RNA of Daphnia pulex (common water flea), 1081 nucleotides long. RefSeq lists it as uncharacterized. Lineage: Eukaryota; Metazoa; Arthropoda; Branchiopoda; Diplostraca; Daphniidae. The record is from RefSeq and is a predicted model, not a curated record. The transcript is spliced from 6 exons.
AAUACUUAUAUUCCUGUGAUAUCAAAUACCAAAUUGAACUGCGUAUCUUAUAUGCAUACUGUCAGUCAUUCCAACAAGUUGACUUAGCGCUGAGUCAAUUUCCAUCAGAUUAGACCCUCAUGUUGUCAAAAGCCAAAUUCUCAUGUUUGAAGCCCACAUGUAGUGGAAUACAAAUGUGCAGAGAUAAGGUAUUUUCCCAUUACUGCUACCAGACCAUACAAUUAAGAUUUUCUUAUAACAUAGGUAUCCUUGCACAUGAACCAUAGGAUCUUUUCUGAAUCUCACAAUUUUGGUGGUGUACCCUGCAACAGCAUGUUUGUUGUUGUUAUGUUUUUACUUCUGUUUAGGAGGCAAUAUAGCUAAGAGAAAGAGUUUCAGUGACAUGAAGAGUGUGGAGUGAAUAACCUGCCAUGUGUAUUGCACAUGUACGGGAUCUGCUUGAAGAAAGUCAAAAGCCUUACUAAAUUCAUCACCCGUAUGAUAAAGCAUCAGGAAAUUUAUCUCAACAUGAGGAGUAAGGCUGUUGGUUGUUGUGAUUUCCUUUUUUAUGGUUUAUUCAUCAUGAAAAUUGCAGUGUGCUUCUUAGCAAAGGGCAUGUAAGAGAUCCUUAAGCCAAUGCUGUUCAUUGUCCAUGACGGAAGAGGGACUUCAACCUACGUUCUGCUACAUCCUUAUCUUCCUGACGUACGCUCAUCCAGCUUCACUGCUUCAGUGUUCUUAUGCUGCAAAACAAAUUUUCUUGCUUCAAUGGCGAGUUGGAUCACUUCAGUUGCUGUGAGCCUGCGACACACCUGCAAUCACUCACCACGGGAUUAUGGCCAGGUAAUGCAGAGGAAACGUCGAGAAGAUGGACACCAAAACGUCACCGGUAUCACCAAAAUGUCAGCGUGGAUCAUCAUUUGUUGUUGGUAAUAUGUUUGUGUCAGUGUUAGUUAACCCGUUGGCUGCCACGCCUUUGUUCUCCUCUAGUUCCUUAGCACGGGUCGCGCUGUUCGGUCUCGUGGUUUACAAGCCGCGGGUUCGGAGAGUCGCCAAGCCCAAAACUUGCCGCAAGGCGCCUGUUUCAGGCAAUGCACCCCCU